CAUACCCUACUGUUGUGCUGCACAGAGAGGCUGACCGAAAGACUGCUGUGUCUCUUGGCAUCAUGGGAAACAUUCUCUGUGGCAUCCUUGAUGAUCAUCGCGUGGACGUCGUCGGGCAUGUCAGAACAUUCCUCCAAAGUUGUCCUGGCUUUCAUCUUACAAGGGAUGAUGUUCAGCUGCUGUUUGACUUCAGUCGUCAAUGUGGGCUGAUGGAGGCGGCGGCAGGCAACUACGCUAAUCUGUGACAGUGGACAGUUUCUGUGUUCAGUUUGAAGUUAUCAUAUGGUGACCCUAAAUAUUUCUGAUUCUCUGGUAAAACUGUUUAUUUUCACAAUGUAACCUUCUUAGUUUUUCAUUUUAUUGCAUUGUAUUUUACUUUGUUGCAAUGUUGUUGCAUAUGUCAUAUGUUCGAUUUUUCUAUUUGUACAUAGUAAUUGAGACAAUAAGUUAGGAUACCUUAACAUGCGCUAUCUGAGCUAGCUGGUGUUCUUAAAGACAACAACCUACACAUGUUGUUGACAUUCGUGGCAAGCAGUUUGAAUGUGGGGGAAUGAGAGUCGAGGAUAAUGGAGUUCCAGAGGAUACAAUGAUUAUAUGUAUGUGUUACUCCAAGACCAUAAUGCCAUCAGUGAUUUAGGUUAAGUGUGUCUAACAAACAGCAAUUAAGAAUACUGUUUUCAAAAUGCACAUACCAUGACACGGUCUUGUAGAAAUUACACAUAAUUAGGAACAAUUGUUUGCAAAUGAUCUAGCGUUUGUCUCCCUUUUAAAUAACUCAUAACUAGCUUACAGAAACGAACUCAAUCUUAUUUUAUAUGAAUCAAUAAAUUUUCAAAUUUGGUCAAACAACAUCACUUUGAAUCAAAAGCAAAUAAAACUAAAGAGAUCAU
Haliotis rubra (blacklip abalone) is the source of this 890-nucleotide long non-coding RNA. RefSeq lists it as uncharacterized. NCBI's taxonomy places the organism in Eukaryota, Metazoa, Mollusca, Gastropoda, Lepetellida, Haliotidae. The record is from RefSeq and is a predicted model, not a curated record. The transcript has 3 exons.